UUUAGACGAGAGUUUGAUCCUGGCUCAGGAUGAACGCUGGCGGCGUGCCUAACACAUGCAAGUCGAGCGAAGCGCUUGAAUCUGAUUCUUCGGAUGAGGAUUCUUGUGACUGAGCGGCGGACGGGUGAGUAACGCGUGGGCAACCUGCCUUACACAGGGGGAUAACAGUUAGAAAUGACUGCUAAUACCGCAUAAGACCACAGUACUGCAUGGUACAGUGGUAAAAACUCCGGUGGUGUAAGAUGGGCCCGCGUCUGAUUAGGUAGUUGGCGGGGUAACGGCCCACCAAGCCGACGAUCAGUAGCCGACCUGAGAGGG
RNAcentral lists this ribosomal RNA (318 nucleotides) under Dorea sp. Its description in RNAcentral is "bacterial SSU rRNA". It matches the Rfam family "Bacterial small subunit ribosomal RNA", at positions 1 to 300 of the family's 1533-position model. The record is from RNAcentral. Lineage: Bacteria; Bacillati; Bacillota; Clostridia; Lachnospirales; Lachnospiraceae.